This 496-nucleotide ribosomal RNA is filed under the name uncultured bacterium. RNAcentral describes it as "partial 16S ribosomal RNA". It matches the Rfam family "Bacterial small subunit ribosomal RNA", at positions 28 to 506 of the family's 1533-position model. The record is from RNAcentral.
GAUGAACGCUGGCGGCGUGCCUAAUACAUGCAAGCCGAGCGAACAGACGAGGAGCUUGCUCCUCUGACGUUAGCGGCGGACGGGUGAGUAACACGUGGAUAACCUACCUAUAAGACUGGGAUAACUUCGGGAAACCGGAGCUAAUACCGGAUAAUAUAUUGAACCGCAUGGUUCAAUAGUGAAAGACGGUUUUGCUGUCACUUAUAGAUGGAUCCGCGCCGCAUUAGCUAGUUGGUAAGGUAACGGCUUACCAAGGCAACGAUGCGUAGCCGACCUGAGAGGGUGAUCGGCCACACUGGAACUGAGACACGGUCCAGACUCCUACGGGAGGCAGCAGUAGGGAAUCUUCCGCAAUGGGCGAAAGCUGGACGGAGCAACGCCGCGUGAGUGAUGAAGGUCUUCGGAUCGUAAAACUCUGUUAUUAGGGAAGAACAAAUGUGUAAGUAACGAUGCACGUCUUGACGGUACCUAAUCAGAAAGCCACGGCUAACUACGU